Molecule: long non-coding RNA, 1307 nt
Organism: Armigeres subalbatus
Lineage: Eukaryota; Metazoa; Arthropoda; Insecta; Diptera; Culicidae
Exons: 3
Source: RefSeq, a predicted model, not a curated record
UAUUUUGUGUGCUGUUUUGGAACAUUGUAGAAACAACAAUAUUUUUCGUCUAAUCAAAUCUGAUUUUUUGUUGAAUUCAACAAAUAAAAUUAUUAGCCGGGGAACAAUAAUUAUUUUUAUUGUUUUUAUACAUAAUAUCAUUGAGAUUAAAAAACAUUUCUCUGCGUGUUACUAUAUGAAAAGUUGUUCAAUGUUUUUCUUAGAUUUUGUGCACACACAUACGCACACACAUACAUACACACGGACAGACGGACAUUUGUUCAGCUUUUCGAGCUGAGUCGAUUGGUAUAUAACACUAUAGGUCUCCGAGGCUUCUAUAAAAAGCUCGUUUUCGGAGUGAAAUGAUAGCCUUUCGGUACAACUUUGUUGUACGAGAAAGGCAAAAAAUAUAUGAAGACCCACACUCAAAAUAAUUUUCACUUACACGGAUAAAAAUGAAAAAGCUAUUUAGCUUAUUCUUUAUUCCUUUUCAAGCUUUAUUGAAUUUUAAUUAUUUCAACGCUUUUAAAUUAGAAUAGCAUGAUUUUGUUUUAUGCAUUGUAAUGCUUUUCUAAAAUUUAAUCAUCCAAUUGCUUAUCAAGUUACUCUCGGGACUUGACAAAUUUUUUUUCUUAAGUUAGCAUCCAUAUUCUACAUUUUAUUCUAAAUUUUAUAAGGAUCGGCCGAAAUAAUAGAAUACCGCGUCGAACGGAAGCUGAAUCGAAUCUUCAACCGCAAAAAGCCAUCGUGUUCGCGGCCUUCCUCGAAGUCUACGGCCUCUUCCGGGAAGGAUAUAAAAUUGGUUCUAAAUACGCCUAAGCGAGUGCCAACAGAUCAAAUUUCGAUCGACAACAUCGAUGAUGACUUUUUUUAAACAACAUUGUUGUAUUUGGAGGCGAAAUCAUCAACGAGUCGAGUUCCUGUCAGUCCUAGACCACUAACAUCUAUAGCCACCUUUCCGGAUCGAGAACGAAGGAGGUUCAAUCUGUCCAAGGAAGGCGGCCAUUGAACAGUGUAUUCCGUCAGGAUAUCUCCGGUCAGAAGAAGAAGAAGAAGAUCUCCGAUCAGAUAAUAGCUUUUAGUCUCCCAGCUCCAAUUCCUCAGCAAGCUACAGGUAUCAGAUACUGCUCCAUUUAACACUGGUGGAAAAACAGAUGCUUUUGGGUCAACCAUCUAAUCACUUGGGUAGAAGAUUACGAAGCGCUAAUGGAAUAUCUCAUCAGUCGAGCAUGCUCAAAACGGGAUUACAUUCACCCUGACUACGACACAUGUCCACCAGAAAAAUGUAGAAACCUUUGCUCCGAAAAAUAUAAUUUCUGAAACAAAUG